This is a long non-coding RNA of Sebastes umbrosus (honeycomb rockfish), 2092 nucleotides long. RefSeq lists it as uncharacterized. The record is from RefSeq and is a predicted model, not a curated record. The transcript is spliced from 2 exons. NCBI's taxonomy places the organism in Eukaryota, Metazoa, Chordata, Actinopteri, Perciformes, Sebastidae.
CGGAGUAGGUCUGAACAUUUUGGCCCAGUAGUGUUGUGUUCGUUUUUCUGUAGUAUUAGUAGUAAAUAUCCUACUGACGUUCACGACGCGUGUUUUGGUAGGACAGAAUCGUUUGAGCUUGUCUGUGGUUCUGAUCAAUCCCCUGGUGAUAUCUCAUAUCCUGGUGCCUUUGAUUCUAGAGCCUUUAUGACAUCAUCACAUUAAGAUAACACAGUGUAGAAUGUUCCUUUUUAAAACAUUCCAAGAAUGUUAAAUGAUAACAAAGGAAGAACAUUCUAAAAGUAACAUUCUGAAAAUGUUCUGAUGAUUAUUGAGACCUCGGAUUACAGUUAUUUUUUUAAUAAAACGUACUUGUAAUGUGAUAUGUUAUCAAGGUCAUGGUCAAAUUUAUUUAUAGAGUGCUUUAAAAAAAAAAAAAAAAAGCCAGGUUUGUACCAAAGUGCUUUACAACAAACAGAAUUGAGCAGAAGUUAACAUAAGUUCUUAGAUAUAUAUAUAUACAAACAUACAAAUAUACUCUACAAGCAUACAUACAUACUUACGUAAUGCACACAUACACACGUGUACAUACAUCUAUGCAUAUAAAUAUAAAGUACAGUAUAAAGUAUCAAUUCACGAAUCGUUAGAGAGGAAAGCAAGGGAGUAAAAGUGGGUCUUAAGACACCGUUUAAAGGGCGAGUUCAUCUGCAUUUUCAAAACACCCACUCAGCCGUUAGCAAAAAGCAGUGACGUAGGUUACCAAAGUAAGCCAAUCAAUAAGCUAAUGAAUAGUGUGAACGCUAGCACUAGCUGAGUCAACGCUGAGCUAAGUUUGGAAAUACCUGACAGGGUUAUUUAAUGUUUUUUGAAGUGGGUAACAUGUAGAAUGAAACAUUGAUGCGAUCUACAUGAAACAAACAUGCCAUUAUUAUACUGAAACAAAAGUUAUGCCUGUAUAUUUUAGUACUCAUGCGGCAAUUCGUUGUACAUUUACAAAAGAUUACAGAGUAAUGUCUAGACAUUAGUAGUUACAUGUAAGUAUUGAUAAUAAACAUGGGGAAAGGUUUCAAGCUGCAUGUUGCCUUUAUCCCUGUUGCAUUGAUACAUAACUUUUGUCUGGUUUUCUAAUCAACAACUUAUAAUAGCAAUAACAUAAUCUUCACUAGUUGCAUGUUAUUAUAUUUUUUUGUGAUGGUCAGCACGGAAUCAAUUUGUAUGUAAUCCACAUAAUUGUGAACCGGGAAGUAUAGAGAGCGGCAAACGUCGCGUAGGGAGGACGUCAUGGUGGAUGGGUGGGUCAAAAAACACAGGACUUUCGCCCAGGAGACAGGUGUUCGUGUCCUCUUAAACCAUGAUCGAGGGAAACGAGGGAGUUUGAUGAAUCUGAGUUAGAACAUUCGUACAAGCAAACAAAGUACGAGAGGUUUCGGAUAAGAAUACAAAAAUGUUUUUGCAUGAGGCCCAAUGUUUUUUCUUUUUUUAUUUAUGUGAUGAUUUAUAAUCCCUCUACUCUCUGACACACUGCUCAACAAACACAGCUGUCACGAAAAAGUAAGAAAACCUGCUAAUAAUAUGAACACAAGUUUAUCCGGGCCCACUUGGAAAAAUUUGAGAUGCACUGUUUUCAAAUGACCUCGUGACAACGUGUGCCGAGAUGACCCGUCGCACAUGAUCCUAAAAAUGUAUUUGUGUGUGUGCAUAUGUACAUAACACACACACACACACACACACACACACACACACACACACACACACAAUGAAAACCAUGCCAUUCCAUGGAAACUUGCUGCUGGUUCCAGGACGUGAGACACUGUGGCCAAACCAGAUACAGGAAGUGAACGGCCGCCAAGUCAUGGUGGAAACUGGAGGCGGAAGCUAAGAAUACGACAGACCUGUAGGUCCAACAGUUGGCUGUUAUACGCAACGGAUAGGCAACCCCAGUCGCAUAAAUCCGGAGCUUUGACUAUUUCACAAUGUAUUUACUUCCUGUCUCAACAACCGCAGCUUAUCCAGACUUUGUUUAUGGACGAUGCAAAAAUUCAGACAGAAAAGAUCCAAACUGUGGCCGCUUUUACUAUUGUUAUAGCUCAGACAGUAAAACAGAUUUAAAGCA